Molecule: long non-coding RNA, 4697 nt
Organism: Neofelis nebulosa (Clouded leopard)
Lineage: Eukaryota; Metazoa; Chordata; Mammalia; Carnivora; Felidae
Exons: 3
Source: RefSeq, a predicted model, not a curated record
UGAGGGCUUGAAUGCAGAUCUUUCAGACCCUACUGCCUGCGUGCUUAAGCCCCACAUUAAAUGUUCAGGAGUUUGUUUCUUCCAGAACAACUUCUGCUAAAAAAGAUGAAAUCAAUGGAAACAGUAUUAGUAUCACUAUUGCUAAUCAGCCAUGGAAUAACUUCCAGGGAAUUUCCAAAAAGAAGUCCACAGAGCCGGGCAGUGCCUAAGGGGUCAAGGUUUAGGACAGAGCCUCACUAGGGAUGAGCCCCAGCCCUCAGACACCCCACAGCCUAAAACAGGAGGACCAUCUGCCCUCCCUUUCCCUCUGGCUAAAUGUGAAGAGUGUCCUUCCGCCUUGUUCCCUCCUGGAGGGCAAUUCCUGCCUGGGGAUUGCACUUGUAUGUGCUUUUAGGUUUACAAGUGGCAAAAACCACCUCAAAGUAGAGUCAUUAAAAGAAAAAAAGAGAGACAUGAUCUCUUUGUUUCGGUAACCAAAUAAACCUUGGGUUGUCUGGCUUCAGGUACAAACGGAUCCAGGGACUCAUACAAUAUCAGAAAACUGUCCCUCUCUACCUUCAUCUAAUUUUCUCCGUAGUUCAUUUUCUUGGUUGCCCCUGGAAGCUCCAGUCACUAUCCCCAGAGCUUAGCAAUACGAGUGGAAGGAGAAUUUCUUUUUUUCCAAUGGUCCCCAUGAAAGUGUUAGGAUGGAGUUUUUCUGGCUUGGUUUGAAUAUCCAUCUCUAAUUCAAUUAUCCUCACCAGGGAGAUAAAUAUCAGAUUUUUCAAGCCUGGGUCACAUGUUUGCCCUUGGAGCAGUGUGGAGAUAAGAGGCAGUCUCCUUGGAUUACAUGGGAGAUAGGUGGUUUUCCAGAAGAAAAUGGUCUUUUAAUUUUUAAAAGAGUGAGGGGAAUGGGUUCUAGGAGAUGCCAACAACAGGUGUCCUCUAUAAGCUCAUAUUAUAAAGUCACCUUCUAGAUGCUAAGAUUAUAGGCACAGAUCCAUCUAGUCCCUAAUGUGCUUACAUAUUCACUCUUAGUGGAAGGUUCUCAGUACCUCUGAGGCCUAUGAGAAAGUCCAUAAAUGUCUUUGCUAGCAUAGGUACUGGACAUUUUUCCCUUCUGGAAAAAAAGAGCACACCAAUAUUCCUUGCGAUACAGUGCAUCCCUCAUUUUCCGUCACUUCGGUUCAGGUGGGGCUAACCCACCGAGGCUUCAAGCAUGAAGAUGUGACCUAAGUCCACUGUAUACCUCUGGCCUCAAGAUCAGUUCUGAGAUGAUUAUGGGAUUUGAUUCUUACCAGAGUCAUCGUGUCCUGGGUGUUUGGAAAAAAAAAAAAAAAAGCCUACAGGAGGGAAAAAAAAGCUCUUUUUUUUUCUUUUUUCUUUUUUUUUUUACUAGGGUUGGUAAGAGGGUAGGCUGUUGGCUAGGAGAUUGCUAGAGGCCGUCUUGUCACAAGGAUAGGGCUGGUCUGAAAAUGAUGCCAGAUAGAGGAAACCAGAACUGGGAGAUCGAGUUUGAGCCCCUGGACCCGGACAUACACUAUUAGAGACAAUCAAUCACAUUAUUUUUUUUUCUUAAAUUAAGCCCAUUUGAAGUGGAUUUCUUUGUCACUUACAACUAAAAACGCCUGACUGCUACCAUCUAGAUUCAAACACCAGUCUUGUCACUUUUAUAAACCUUGUCAUUUUGGGUAAAUCGACGAACCCCUCUGAUUCUUGGCUGCUUUCUCCGUGGAGUGGAGAUCACCUCCGUGGCAGGGUUUCCAGGAUAGUAACUGAGGUUAUAGCUGAUUAGUACCGAGCACAAUUCUGGCAACGCCAUGGGCACUUCAUACAGGUAUGUUUUACUGGCAUUGGGAGAGCAGGAAAACGAAAGCCAAAGGAAGCAGGAUCAAAACCAAACUUGGAUGACUGUUGGAGCCAAGAAAACAUUAGAUGUAAACGAGCUGUCUGGACACAGAUAACAGGGAGGGUAGGGAACAACUGGAGAGUAAGUGCCCGCUGUGACAACAUUCAAGCUUGAAAAUUCAAAAUCUCUCAAACAAAUUGAGGACGAGGGCUGCCAGUUCACAAACCUUGAAAAGCAACUGAAACAUGAAUGUUCCAGAGGAGACCCCAGCUGUGAGCCAGGAAGUGCAGUCGUUCGGUUCGACAUGUUCCCACGGAUAAAAGCUCUAGGGAAGGAAGCUCCAUGAUGCCUCCAUCAACAGCCUGCCUCUCCCAAAGCAAGAGAAUCAAAGGGCCUUUGAGUCCAGGCUUUCCUUAAUUUCAAAACCGAACAUGACCACUCUUUAUUUUUAACCUUCCCUUCCCCUAGUCUAUGCCUUCAAGCAGCUUUUCUGGGGAGAGAGUGUUUGCGCCCACACUGGCAAAUCUGAGUCCCUGGCCACGCGCCGGCUGCGACGGGGCUGUUGCCAUGACCACCCACCCCAGCACCUGGAACCCAGCCUUUAGAGGGGCUCACUUGAGAGCCGCAUGAACGGUAAGAAGCGUGGAAUUCAAGUCCCCAAGGGACCUGGCUGAGGGCAAAGGGACCCUCACGCUUGUCCCCUGCUCUGGAAGGAGUGUGCCUCUGGCUGGUUGGAGUGCCUGUGACAGUAGAGAUAGUGAAUCUCCCGUGUGGCCGAUGCUCGUUGUGCUUCUGCUGUUAUCACAUCCGCUUCCUGGAGAGGCCAGCAAACUCACCUAGAGUCUCCAGGCUAAUGGUGGCAGAGCCAGAAUUUGAACCUCGGUGGGUACAAACCUAGUGCUCCAACAUAAUAACCAUAAUGCCUACCAGGAGAGAGAGCUGAUGUGAAUGUUUGGAGCCACUUGACAACUGUAUUUAUUUCUGCUGAUGAUUAAAGAAUCAAGGCGCCUGGGUGGCUUAGUGGGUUGAGUGACCAACUCUUGAUUUUGGUUCAGGUCAUGCUUCCAGAGUCAUGGGAUCAAGCUCCACAUCAGGCUCUGCACUAAGUGUGGAGCCUGCUUCAGAUUCUCUCUCUCCCACUACCCCUCUCCAUUGCUCUUGUACACAUGCUCUCUCUCUCUCUCUCUCUAAAAUAAAAAUUAAAAAAGAAAAAGAAUCAUCUGAUCCAUACCCCAGUUUUCUCUCAUUAUGGCUAGUUUGGUGGUCUUAAACAUGUCCACAAAUUAUUUGACUCAUCACCCACCCAAAGGUAGAGACUAACCCCCUCCCUUUGAGUUUGGGCUGCUUCUCACAAAUAGAAUGUGGCAGAAGUAAUGCCUUGUGAUUCCCAAGGCUAGGUUAGAAAAAGCUACAGAGUGUCCACCUGGCUUCAUGUCCUGGGAUGCCCGCUCUUGGGCCCCACCUGCCAUGCUGUCAGGAAGCCCGGCCACGCAAAGGCCAUGUGUGGGUGCUCCCUCAAAGAAUCCUGCUGAGGUCCCAGCCCACGGCCAGCAUCGACACGUGAGUGGGGAAGCCCCUGGGAUGAAUCGAGCCCCAGCCACCAACUAACUGCAACCAGGAAAGGACUCUGAACGGCACCACACAGCUGGUCCCAGUCUUUCAGGUUCAGAACUGUACUCAAGGAGUUAAGUUGUCCAGAGGCGCACAGCUAGGAUGCCGCAAGACCAGGUUGUCAUGGAUUCCCGGUCCAACGUGUAUGAAUUGAGCUCCUACCAUGUGCCCCACACUGUGCCGGACUCUGGAGACACUGCGGAGAAGACUUCGUGCAUGCGGACUCCAGGGCGGCAGGCGGGUGGUAAGGAAACAGACAAGCAAGCAAGUCAAUAAAUAACAGCAUUGCUGUGUGAGCCUUGCUGGGAAGAGCAGUGAGGCUGGUAGUAGCCAAAGAGCGGCCUUCAAUCCCCUCUGAGGAAGUGGCCUUUGUGGGAUGUGCAUCCCGGGCAGCAGAAACACCCAGAGGGGAGCCAGGGUUGGGCGAAGGACCUGGCACAUUCAAGAAGCAAAAUAAAGACACCAGCCUCGAAGUGAACGAAAGAAAACAGGGUGCGAGAUGAAGACAAAGAGGGAGGUGAGGCCAGACUUCACACGGCCCUGUUGACCAAGGGUUACUCAGUUGGGAGGAUGCAAGCCAGGAGUUCUUGGUACUUGAGAAGACAGCCCAUCUAAGAAUGGACCUGUCUAGAGGGAGACAGGGCUGAGAGGAAGAUGCAGGUCCCAGGUCCAGCCACCCACGGGCAUAUCUACUUUGCAGUCACGUGCACUGAUUGAUUGCUUUCGUUUGUCUUUUAUGCUUGGAGCUGGGUUUCUGUCAACUGACUAGAAACUUCAUGACCAAUAGACUACUUGUCUAAUUUCACUUCUUGUCAUCUGUAUAAAUUGGGAUUUAUGUUCAUCUGCUAAACUCGAAAAGGGAUGAAAUAAAUUGAAUCUAUUUUUGUCAUGUAAUAAGAAUGUUGUAGAUAAGCAGUCCUGGCCUGGAAGAAGAACUCCUUUUGAAAGCAGAGACCGAGGUACCCGCAGCAGUCAAGGUCCAUAGACACCAUCUAAUCCAACUGGGUAGGAAUAACAAAAAUUCCCCUUUCCUGAGAAUGAAAGAAGUUUCCUAGUGAGCAGGGAGAACUCCUUUAUUUAGCGCUUUCCACCACCCUUCUCUCUGCCCUCUGGGAGAUGCUCCUCUGUCCAUCUCUCUUCCUGGACUCGUCUGAGGUGGAAUGGGGAAUGACCAGCUCCCAACUUGGCUCAAGGAUCUUUUUGGGAUUUACUUGUGGUUUUUAAAAAAAUUUUUUUUAACGUUUAUUUAUUUUUGAGA